GAUGAAGAACGUAGCGAAUUGCGAUAAGUAAUGUGAAUUGCAGAAUUCAGUGAAUCAUCGAAUCUUUGAACGCACAUUGCGCCCGCCAGUAUUCUGGCGGGCAUGCCUGUUCGAGCGUCAUUACAACCCUCAGGCCCCCGGGCCUGGCGUUGGGGAUCGGCGGAAGCCCCCUGCGGGCACAACGCCGUCCCCCAAAUACAGUGGCGGUCCCGCCGCAGCUUCCAUUGCGUAGUAGCUAACACCUCGCAACUGGAGAGCGGCGCGGCCACGCCGUAAAACACCCAACUUCUGAAUGUUGACCUCGAAUCAGGUAGGAAUACCCGCUGAACUUAAGCAUAUCAAUAAGCGGAGGA
This 353-nucleotide unclassified non-coding RNA is filed under the name soil metagenome. RNAcentral describes it as "partial contains 5.8S ribosomal RNA, internal transcribed spacer 2, and large subunit ribosomal RNA". The stretch from base 1 to 120 matches the Rfam family "5.8S ribosomal RNA", at positions 35 to 154 of the family's 154-position model. The record is from RNAcentral.